Molecule: ribosomal RNA, 503 nt
Filed under: uncultured bacterium
Lineage: Bacteria
Description: partial 16S ribosomal RNA
Rfam family: Bacterial small subunit ribosomal RNA
Source: RNAcentral
AUUGAACGCUGGCGGCAGGCCUAACACAUGCAAGUCGAGCGGUAGCACAGAGAGCUUGCUCUCGGGUGACGAGCGGCGGACGGGUGAGUAAUGUCUGGGAAACUGCCUGAUGGAGGGGGAUAACUACUGGAAACGGUAGCUAAUACCGCAUAACUUCGCAAGACCAAAGGGGGGACCUUCGGGCCUCUUGCCAUCAGAUGUGCCCAGAUGGGAUUAGCUAGUAGGUGGGGUAACGGCUCACCUAGGCGACGAUCCCUAGCUGGUCUGAGAGGAUGACCAGCCACACUGGAACUGAGACACGGUCCAGACUCCUACGGGAGGCAGCAGUGGGGAAUAUUGCACAAUGGGCGCAAGCCUGAUGCAGCCAUGCCGCGUGUAUGAAGAAGGCCUUCGGGUUGUAAAGUACUUUCAGCGGGGAGGAAGGCGAUAAGGUUAAUAACCUUGUCGAUUGACGUUACCCGCAGAAGAAGCACCGGCUAACUCCGUGCCAGCAGCCGCAGUAA